Triticum aestivum (bread wheat) is the source of this 620-nucleotide long non-coding RNA. RefSeq lists it as uncharacterized. The transcript is spliced from 5 exons. NCBI's taxonomy places the organism in Eukaryota, Viridiplantae, Streptophyta, Magnoliopsida, Poales, Poaceae. The record is from RefSeq and is a predicted model, not a curated record.
CCCACCUCUUUCCCCUCUCUAUAUGAACCCUUUCAUCAGCUUCAAAAUGUUUCAAGAAAAUUCACACAUAUCAAUGGUUCAUUAUAAUGACUUUGCAAGUUCACAGAAUAAUCAAUCAUUGAUGAGCGUGAUUUUUUUAGCAUUUGGAAGCAUGAGGAAACUUGUAACAGAAAAAUAGAGAAGAUGAAGCUGUUUUUUAGCCUCUUGUUCUUGUCAUUUUGGUGCAGAUGGCAAAUCAAAUGAUGUCUCUUCACAAAACAUUGAAGAUACAUAAUGCGCUCUGGCAUGUAAAUACUUGUUUCACCGCAACCCCCACAAAAGGACCAGCCUGGUGAGGAGGGAAAGCAUCACCAAUAUGGAUGAUACAAUCCAACUGUUAUCUUUGGUGUGUUUUUGGAUGGACUAAUCUGAAGAUGCUGGCUAGCUUGCACUGCCAUCAUAUAGUCUAGAAGCAAGGGCAAGGAUUAUAGGGAUAAUAAAGGCAAUUCACCAUCCGGAGGAAAUGCCAACUAAUAUUUUUUGGUACUAUUUCUGUUACCGAGAUUCAUCAAACACCGAAGGAGGUUAGUUUUUACCUGUGCAACAAUGGCGGCCAUCGUGGUCUUGUUGGAGCCUCCCUU